CUCAUGAGGAUGCUCCCAAAAGGAAAACUUUCCAAUCAUCACAGGCUCCUACCACACACCAGCACUGCCAUGUUCCUCUUCCCAUGUCAAUGCCUAGCCAGGAGCCCAUGCAACUGGAUUUCUCAAGAUUUACUGAAGAGGAGAGAACUCGACGACGUCAACUCAAUCUGUGCUACUACUGUGGUGAAACAGGCCACCACAGCGUAGGAUGCCCACACAAAGCCCGGAGGAACACCAAAAUUACUACCCGGCGCUGAUCAACUCUGGAGCUUCCCUGAAUUUCAUCCACAAGGACAUCAUUAACAAAUUCAACAUUCCCACUCAACCCUGUGUGCCACCCAUCAAGAUCAGUGCUGUUAACAAUACACCCAUAAGAGAUGGCAUCAACCAGCAAACACAAACACUUCAACUCCAUAUUGGACUAUUCCAUCAAGAGGCCAUUUCCUUCUACGUCAUUGAUAUGAAAUUAUCCUUGGCUACCCCUGGUUAUCUGUUCAUGACCCAAUCUUUUCCUGGCAUCAUGGUGAGCUAACCCACUGGUCUAAAUACUGCCAAACCCACUGCAGACAAACCGCUAUAACCAAGCCCUGUUUGACAACAAGCAUAGAAAACCCAAACACUACUCAAGCUACUAAGAUUCCCUCCUGUUAUGAGGAGUUCAGUGAAGUUUUUAGUAAAAUCAAGGCCACCCAGUUACCACCUUAUCGACCAUGGGACUGCGCUAUUGACUUGUUACCCAAUGCCAUGCCUCCUAAGAGUAAAGUCUACCCUCUGUCACGCAACGAGACUCAAGCCAUGGAAGAGUACAUAGAAGAUGCUAUGAACUCUGGAUUUAUCUGUCCCUCCACUUCACCAGCUGCCGCAGGAUUUUUCUAUGUGGAAAAGAAAGAUGGAGGCUUACGGCCAUGCAUUGACUAUAGAGGUUUAAAUAAUGUGACUAAGUUCUGCUACCCCCUUCCACUGGUUCCUUCAGCACUGGAACCACUGUGAGGCCAGGAUCUAUACAAAGCUCAACCUCAGAAGCGUGUGUGUGUGUAAUGUGUUUUGAAAUUGUGGAGACAGACCACUGGUCUAGUCGAGCCAUUGGUGCCUGGCACAGGGGUCAAUUGCUCCUCCUGGAAUGUGUUUGAAGUUCGAUGGGGAGACCAGAGAGUUGAUCUGUUCAGCAUCUUCUGGAUAAUGGGGGUAAACAUUGGCCAUUUAUAGUGCCCAUAUAACUGUAGACUAUGGGGCCAGAUUCUGUAAUUUAUAUGCAAAUAUUAAAAGGCUAAAAUGAAUUUCUAAGACAAAGCCCAAACAAUCGUAC
This is a long non-coding RNA of Cyprinus carpio carpio, 1306 nucleotides long. NCBI's taxonomy places the organism in Eukaryota, Metazoa, Chordata, Actinopteri, Cypriniformes, Cyprinidae. The record is from Ensembl.